GGAGGGAGGCAGUUCCUACUGGCUUUGGUUCUGGGAGAGAUGGACCAUUAAGCGGGAGGAUCAUGGCUCACAGCACAAAGUGCUCAGGUGAAUGCGGCUCUUUCUCUUGCCUCUACUGACAUACAGUGGAUGUGAUUACCCACGCACUCACCCUGCCCAACUUUUCUAUCAGAUUGGAAAGUGGACAAAACUACUGGGCUCCAUGGGCUCCAGUAACCUUUUCUCAACCGAUAGAGUGGAUAAAUCACAGAAAUGAGGAUCGAUCUGAAAGAAAAACAAGCGACACUUGACCCCCAGAUGUUGAUUUUUAAGACGCAUUUUGGUCCUGAUAUAGUUAAAGGAAAUGCCUUACAUUAAACCCCCAUUUAAGCAAUGUUUUAGUGUGUUGCAUAAGAGGGACAUUGAUUGCAAAUGUAAAGUUAUUUUGAUAUAUGUACAGCCAUCUACCAAAUAAACAAUCAAACACA
Long non-coding RNA from Xenopus laevis (African clawed frog), 467 nucleotides. RefSeq lists it as uncharacterized. The transcript has 3 exons. The record is from RefSeq and is a predicted model, not a curated record. NCBI's taxonomy places the organism in Eukaryota, Metazoa, Chordata, Amphibia, Anura, Pipidae.